RNAcentral lists this ribosomal RNA (227 nucleotides) under Clostridioides difficile. RNAcentral's name for it is "partial 23S ribosomal RNA". It matches the Rfam family "Bacterial large subunit ribosomal RNA", at positions 1827 to 2053 of the family's 2925-position model. Lineage: Bacteria; Bacillati; Bacillota; Clostridia; Peptostreptococcales; Peptostreptococcaceae. The record is from RNAcentral.
UAAGUCGCAAGACGAUGUAUAGGAGCUGACGCCUGCCCGGUGCUGGAAGGUUAAGGGGAUCUGUUAGAGUAAUCGAAGCAGUGAACUUAAGCCCCAGUAAACGGCGGCCGUAACUAUAACGGUCCUAAGGUAGCGAAAUUCCUUGGCGGGUAAGUUCCGACCCGCACGAAAGGCGUAACGAUUUGGGCACUGUCUCAACAACAGACUCGGUGAAAUUGUAAUUCCGG